GAUAAACGCUGGCGGCGUGCUUAACACAUGCAAGUCGAACGGAGUGGUCCUCCCGAAGCGUGAAGGUGCUUGCACCGGAACAAUUCAUUUGGAUCACUUAGUGGCGGACGGGUGAGUAACGCGUGGGAAACCUGCCCUAUACUGGGGGAUAGCAGUUGGAAACGACUGAUAAUACCGCAUAAGCGCACAGUAUCGCAUGGUACAGUGUGAAAAACUCCGGUGGUAUAGGAUGGUCCCGCGUCUGAUUAGCUAGUUGGUGAGGUAACGGCCCACCAAGGCGACUAUCAGUAGCCGGCCUGAGAGGGUGUACGGCCACAUUGGGACUGAGACACGGCCCAAACUCCUACGGGAGGCAGCAGUGGGGAAUAUUGGACAAUGGGGGCAACCCUGAUCCAGCGACGCCGCGUGAGUGAUGAAGUAUCUCGGUAUGUAAAGCUCUAUCAGCAGGGAAGAUAAUGACGGUACCUGACUAAGAAGCACCGGCUAAAUACGUGCCAGCAGCCGCGGUAAUACGUAUGGUGCAAGCGUUAUCCGGAUUUACUGGGUGUAAAGGGUGCGUAGGUGGCAAGGUAAGUCAGAUGUGAAAACUAUGGGCUCAACCCAUAGACUGCAUUUGAAACUGCCAGGCUAGAGUGCAGGAGAGGAAAGUGGAAUUCCUAGUGUAGCGGUGAAAUGCGUAGAUAUUAGGAGGAACACCAGUGGCGAAGGCGGCUUUAUGGACUGUAACUGACACUGAGGCACGAAAGCGUGGGGAGCAAACA
This 761-nucleotide ribosomal RNA is filed under the name uncultured bacterium. RNAcentral describes it as "bacterial SSU rRNA". It matches the Rfam family "Bacterial small subunit ribosomal RNA", at positions 28 to 774 of the family's 1533-position model. The record is from RNAcentral.